GUUAGAUCCGGGCCAUCAGCGGGGGUAAGACGUAGGGUGCAAGCGUUAUCCGGAUUUAUUGGGUUUAAAGGGUCCGUAGGCGGGCCCGUAAGUCAGUGGUGAAAUCUCGCAGCUUAACUGUGAAACUGCCAUUGAUACUGCGGGUCUUGAGUAAAUUUGAAGUGGCUGGAAUAAGUAGUGUAGCGGUGAAAUGCAUAGAUAUUACUUAGAACACCAAUUGCGAAGGCAGGUCACUAAGAUUUAACUGACGCUGAUGGACGAAAGCGUGGGGAGCGAACAGGAUUAGAUACCCCGGUAGUC
This 300-nucleotide ribosomal RNA is filed under the name uncultured Halobaculum sp. RNAcentral's name for it is "bacterial SSU rRNA". It matches the Rfam family "Bacterial small subunit ribosomal RNA", at positions 496 to 795 of the family's 1533-position model. The record is from RNAcentral. Lineage: Archaea; Methanobacteriati; Methanobacteriota; Halobacteria; Halobacteriales; Haloferacaceae.